Molecule: ribosomal RNA, 253 nt
Filed under: uncultured bacterium
Lineage: Bacteria
Description: partial 16S ribosomal RNA
Rfam family: Bacterial small subunit ribosomal RNA
Source: RNAcentral
UACGUAGGGUGCGAGCGUUAAUCGGAAUUACUGGGCGUAAAGCGUGCGCAGGCGGUUUUGUAAGCCAGAUGGGAAAUCCCCGGGCUUAACCUGGGAAUGGCAUUUGGGACUGCAAGGCUGGAGUUUGGCAGAGGAGACUGGAAUUCCCGGUGUAGCAGUGAAAUGCGUAGAUAUCGGGAGGAAUACCGAUGGCGAAGGCGGGUCUCUGGGCUAUAACUGACGCUCAUGCACGAAAGCGUGGGGAGCAAACGGG